UUUAAAUUUAUGAGUUUUCAUGUCGAAUUUUGAUCGUAUAUCUUAUUUUAAACUUUUUAUGAUUAUUAUUUUUAUUAUUAUUAGAUGAUAAAAUAUAAAUAAUACUUUAUACGUGAUUUAUGUUUUAAAUUUUUUUUAAAUAAAACAGAUGAUUAAAAUUGAACAUAAAAACACAUUAUUAUCCUUCGA
Molecule: microRNA precursor, 189 nt
Filed under: Oryza glumipatula
Lineage: Eukaryota; Viridiplantae; Streptophyta; Magnoliopsida; Poales; Poaceae
Description: MIR812 microRNA precursor family
Rfam family: MIR812 microRNA precursor family
Source: Rfam by way of RNAcentral